This 77-nucleotide transfer RNA is filed under the name Carex agglomerata. RNAcentral describes it as "tRNA-fMet". The record is from RNAcentral. Lineage: Eukaryota; Viridiplantae; Streptophyta; Magnoliopsida; Poales; Cyperaceae.
ACGGUUGCUAAUACCCCGUAGGCUGAGGAGCAAAAGGAGGAAUCCGCCCGAGGAGGGGCUCGUGUCUGAUUAGUUAG